GCUAGUAAUGGCAGGUCAGCAUACUGCCGUGAAUACGUUCCCGGGCCUUGUACACACCGCCCGUCACACCAUGAGAGUUGGGGAUACCCAAAGCCCGUGAGCCAACUUUUAGAGGCAGCGGUCUAAGGUAGAAUCAAUGAUUGGGGUGAAGUCGUAACAAGGUAGC
This 166-nucleotide ribosomal RNA is filed under the name uncultured bacterium. Its description in RNAcentral is "partial 16S ribosomal RNA". It matches the Rfam family "Bacterial small subunit ribosomal RNA", at positions 1334 to 1500 of the family's 1533-position model. The record is from RNAcentral.